RNAcentral lists this ribosomal RNA (253 nucleotides) under uncultured bacterium. RNAcentral's name for it is "partial 16S ribosomal RNA". It matches the Rfam family "Bacterial small subunit ribosomal RNA", at positions 524 to 776 of the family's 1533-position model. The record is from RNAcentral.
UACGUAGGGGGCAAGCGUUGUUCGGAAUUACUGGGCGUAAAGCGCACGUAGGCGGCUUUGUAAGUUAGAGGUGAAAGCCCGGGGCUCAACUCCGGAAUUGCCUUUAAGACUGCAUCGCUAGAACGUCGGAGAGGUAAGUGGAAUUCCGAGUGUAGAGGUGAAAUUCGUAGAUAUUCGGAAGAACACCAGUGGCGAAGGCGACUUACUGGACGACUGUUGACGCUGAGGUGCGAAAGCGUGGGGAGCAAACAGG